RNAcentral lists this long non-coding RNA (213 nucleotides) under Homo sapiens (human). RNAcentral's name for it is "non-protein coding lnc-ZNF398-2:1". Lineage: Eukaryota; Metazoa; Chordata; Mammalia; Primates; Hominidae. The record is from RNAcentral.
CCCUUUUGACAGCUGCUUCCCAACCAGAACCAGACCAGGAACUGCUAGCAGAACUACCUGGACUUCCACUGCUGUCAGAAGGCAGUGACCACUAAAGGAGGUGAUAUCUCUGUGUGCGAAUGGUACCAGCAUGUGUACAAGUCCCUCUGCCCCACAUACUGGGUCACAGCCUGGGACAAGCACUGGGCUGAAGGCACGUUUCCCGGGAAGAUC